This 618-nucleotide ribosomal RNA is filed under the name Vibrio cholerae. RNAcentral's name for it is "partial 23S ribosomal RNA". It matches the Rfam family "Bacterial large subunit ribosomal RNA", at positions 1 to 673 of the family's 2925-position model. The record is from RNAcentral. Lineage: Bacteria; Pseudomonadati; Pseudomonadota; Gammaproteobacteria; Vibrionales; Vibrionaceae.
GGUUAAGUGACUAAGCGUACACGGUGGAUGCCUGGGCAGUCAGAGGCGAUGAAGGACGUACUAACUUGCGAUAAGCGCAGAUAAGGCAGUAAGAGCCGUUUGAGUCUGCGAUUUCCGAAUGGGGAAACCCAACUGCAUAAGCAGUUACUGUUAACUGAAUACAUAGGUUAACAGAGCAAACCGGGGGAACUGAAACAUCUAAGUACCCCGAGGAGAAGAAAUCAACCGAGAUUCCGGUAGUAGCGGCGAGCGAACCUGGAUUAGCCCUUAAGCACUCGGUGAAGUAGGUGAACAAGCUGGAAAGCUUGGCGAUACAGGGUGAUAGCCCCGUAACCGACGCUUCAUCGAGCGUGAAAUCGAGUAGGGCGGGACACGUGAUAUCCUGUCUGAAUAUGGGGGGACCAUCCUCCAAGGCUAAAUACUCCUGACUGACCGAUAGUGAACCAGUACCGUGAGGGAAAGGCGAAAAGAACCCCUGUGAGGGGAGUGAAAUAGAACCUGAAACCGUGUACGUACAAGCAGUAGGAGCACCUUCGUGGUGUGACUGCGUACCUUUUGUAUAAUGGGUCAGCGACUUAUAUUCAGUGGCAAGGUUAACCGUAUAGGGGAGCCGUAGCG